CCUAUCAUCAAAACUUUGUAUUGAGGGGAAUGCUUGGUAAUACAGCUCAAUAUAUAGGUUAUGCAAUAAGUAAUGCAUGCCCUCUUUCGACCCUGUUUGUCAGCUAAAGAUCCAACAAUUGUACCAAACAACAUGGAGGACCCAAAACCAGCAAUAAAAAGCUGUCCGAUCUCUCCUUUCCCAAAACCAUACUGGCUGUAGAGGAAGUACACAUAUGGACCCUGCAACCAGUCCCCAGCCAUCAUGAGAGAGUAAACGAGAAGGUAAUUGUUCUUGAAGGAAUUGAAAGCAGGUGAAGUGUUGAUUCGGUCUUUAGUUGUCUUGCUCAGCUCUAGUGCUGCCACCACUGCACCCAGUGCUCCAAAAACCAAAUAGUAAAACACCUCCAUUACUAUCUCUUCCUCUUCGCCUCUCUGAUUCUCUUUUCCACAAUCUCUCCGCGUUUGAUUUGAGAGAGAUGAUUAUUAAUAAAGAAAAUGC
This 480-nucleotide unclassified non-coding RNA is filed under the name Hevea brasiliensis (rubber tree). Lineage: Eukaryota; Viridiplantae; Streptophyta; Magnoliopsida; Malpighiales; Euphorbiaceae. The record is from RNAcentral.